UACGAAGGGUGCAAGCGUUACUCGGAAUUACUGGGCGUAAAGCGUGCGUAGGUGGUGGUUUAAGUCUGUUGUGAAAGCCCUGGGCUCAACCUGGGAAUUGCAGUGGAUACUGGAUCACUAGAGUGUGGUAGAGGGAUGCGGAAUUUCCGGUGUAGCAGUGAAAUGCGUAGAGAUCGGAAGGAACAUCUGUGGCGAAGGCGGCAUCCUGGGCCAACACUGACACUGAGGCACGAAAGCGUGGGGAGCAAACAGG
This 253-nucleotide ribosomal RNA is filed under the name uncultured bacterium. RNAcentral describes it as "partial 16S ribosomal RNA". It matches the Rfam family "Bacterial small subunit ribosomal RNA", at positions 524 to 776 of the family's 1533-position model. The record is from RNAcentral.